This 460-nucleotide ribosomal RNA is filed under the name uncultured bacterium. RNAcentral describes it as "partial 16S ribosomal RNA". It matches the Rfam family "Bacterial small subunit ribosomal RNA", at positions 338 to 795 of the family's 1533-position model. The record is from RNAcentral.
CCUACGGGGUGCAGCAGUGAGGAAUAUUGGUCAAUGGCCGGAAGGCUGAACCAGCCAUGCCGCGUGAAGGUCAGUGCCCUAUGGGCGUUAAGCUUCUUUUGUGCGGGAGCAAUAAUGGUCACGUGUGGCCAGACGAGAGUACCGUACGAAUAAGCAUCGGCUAACUCCGUGCCAGCAGCCGCGGUAAUACGGGGGAUGCAAGCGUUAUCCGGAUUUAUUGGGUUUAAAGGGUGAGUAGGCUGGGAGGUAAGUAAGCGUUGAAAUGCCCCCGCUCAACGGGGUGAAGUGCCAUUGAUACUGCCGUGCUGGAAUGCGGAUGCCGUGGGAGGAAUGUGUGGUGUAGCGGUGAAAUGCAUAGAUAUCACACAGAACACCGAUUGCGAAGGCAUCUCACGAAUCCGCGAUUGACGCUGAUGCACGAAAGCGUGGGUAUCAAACAGGAUUAGAUACCCGAGUAGUC